AGUGGCGGACGGGUGAGUAACACGUGAGAACCUACCCUUAGGAUGGGGACAACAGUUGGAAACGACUGCUAAUACCCGAUGUGCCGGAAGGUGAAAGAUUUAUCGCCUAGGGAAGGGCUCGCGGCUGAUUAGCUAGUUGGUAAGGUAAAGGCUUACCAAGGCGACGAUCAGUAGCUGGUCUGAGAGGAUGAGCAGCCACACUGGGACUGAGACACGGCCCAGACUCCUACGGGAGGCAGCAGUGGGGAAUUUUCCGCAAUGGGCGAAAGCCUGACGGAGCAAUACCGCGUGUGGGAGGAAGGCUCUUGGGUUGUAAACCACUUUUCUCAGGGAAGAAUAGAUGACGGUACCUGAGGAAUAAGCAUCGGCUAACUCCGUGCCAGCAGCCGCGGUAAUACGGAGGAUGCAAGCGUUAUCCGGAAUCAUUGGGCGUAAAGCGUCCGCAGGUGGCCUAUCAAGUCUGCUGUCAAAGCGCAGAGCUCAACUCUGUAAAGGCAGUGGAAACUGAUAAGCUAGAGUUCGGUAGGGGUAGCGGGAAUUCCCAGUGUAGCGGUGAAAUGCGUAGAUAUUGGGAAGAACAUCGGUGGCGAAGGCGCGCUACUGGGCCGAAACUGACACUGAGGGACGAAAGCUAGGGGAGCGAAAGGGAUUAGAUACCCCUGUAGUCCUAGCCGUAAACGAUGGAAACUAGGCGUGGCUUGUAUCGACCCGAGCUGUGCCGAAGCUAACGCGUUUUUUCCCGCCUGGGGAGUACGCACGCAAGUGUGAAACUCAAAGGAAUUGACGGGGGCCCGCACAAGCGGUGGAGUAUGUGGUUUAAUUCGAUGCAACGCGAAGAACCUUACCAAGGCUUGACAUGUCGCGAAUCCUGCCGAAAGGUGGGAGUGCCUUAGGGAGCGCGAACACAGGUGGUGCAUGGCUGUCGUCAGCUCGUGUCGUGAGAUGUUGGGUUAAGUCCCGCAACGAGCGCAACCCUCGUUUUUAGUUGCCAGCAUUAAGUUGGGCACUCUAGAGAGACUGCCGGUGACAAACCGGAGGAAGGUGGGGAUGACGUCAAGUCAGCAUGCCCCUUACGUCUUGGGCAACACACGUACUACAAUGGUCGGGACAAAGAGCAGCGACCUCGCGAGAGUAAGCGAAUCUCAUCAAACCCGGCCUCAGUUCAGAUUGCAGGCUGCAACUCGCCUGCAUGAAGGAGGAAACGCUAGUAAUCGCAGGUCAGCAUACUGCGGUGAAUUCGUUCCCGGGCCUUGUACACACCGCCCGUCACACCAUGGAAGCUGGCCACACCCGAAGUCGUUACCCUAACCUUUCGAGGAGGGGGACGCCGAAGGUAGGGCUGGUGACUGGGGUGAAGUCGUAACAAGGUA
This 1370-nucleotide ribosomal RNA is filed under the name metagenome. RNAcentral describes it as "bacterial SSU rRNA". It matches the Rfam family "Bacterial small subunit ribosomal RNA". The record is from RNAcentral.